AAAUAAAAAAAAUUCUAAUUUCGACUUAGAAAACUAUGAUAAACUCAUUUUAUUUA
This 56-nucleotide transfer RNA is filed under the name Elateroidea sp. 2 KM-2017. RNAcentral describes it as "tRNA-Arg". The record is from RNAcentral. Lineage: Eukaryota; Metazoa; Arthropoda; Insecta; Coleoptera.